GACGAACGCUGGUGGCGUGCCUAAUACAUGCAAGUCGAACGAGAGCGACCGGUGCUUGCACUGGUCAAUCUAGCGGCGAACGGGUGAGUAACACGUGGGUAACCUGCCCAUCAGAGGGGGAUAACAUCCGGAAACGGAUGCUAAAACCGCAUAGGUCUUCGAACCGCAUGGUUUGAAGAGGAAAAGAGGCGCAAGCUUCUGCUGAUGGAGGGACCCGCGCUGCAUUAGCUAGUUGGUGAGGUAACGGCUCACCAAGGCCAGGAUGCAUAGCCGACCUGAGAGGGUGAUCGGCCACAUUGGAACUGAGACACGGCCCACACUCCUACGGGAGGCAGCAGUAGGGAAUCUUCCGCAAUGGGCGCAAGUCUGACGGAGCAACGCCGCGUGAGUGAAGAAGGUCUUCGGAUCGUAAAACUCUGUUGUUAGAGAAGAACAAGUGCUAGAGUAACUGUUAGCGCCUUGACGGUACCUAAUCAGAAAGCCACGGCUAACUACGUG
RNAcentral lists this ribosomal RNA (498 nucleotides) under uncultured bacterium. RNAcentral describes it as "partial 16S ribosomal RNA". It matches the Rfam family "Bacterial small subunit ribosomal RNA", at positions 28 to 507 of the family's 1533-position model. The record is from RNAcentral.